This is an RNA transcript of Oncorhynchus nerka (sockeye salmon), 2679 nucleotides long. It is a transcript of the gene named SEH1-like (S. cerevisiae), with no coding region annotated. NCBI's taxonomy places the organism in Eukaryota, Metazoa, Chordata, Actinopteri, Salmoniformes, Salmonidae. The record is from RefSeq and is a predicted model, not a curated record. The transcript has 10 exons.
UCAUUUUAAACUGUGAUUUUGAAUCUAGCCUAAACCAAACUGCUAACAUUAUGCCUAACCGGAAAUUAAGACCGGAAAUAUAUGUAUUUGUAUGCAUUUUUACGUUAUUGACUUUGUGGCUGUGGUAACUAGAGGAAACCUUCGGUAUCUUUCAAAAACAAAGAUUUUUUAUGUCAUUCGAGAUAAUAAAUGCUCACUUUUAAGGCACAUAUGACUGCGACCUGGUUUCGAGAGAAUAAUUAAUUAAUAUAGUUUGGGACUAUGAUAUAGUUUGCAUCGGCACAAUUGGGCAGUCAAAUAUUAUGAAGAUAGAGGUGGCGUAUUUCAGCUAAAGCUUGGCAGUGAAACGACUUUUUAUAAAAAUGGCGCCGACCAAUGCAACCUGUCCCAUAGUAUAGUAAACUCACAUGUAACGUGGUAUAUUUGUUGCUACAUUUAUCGAGCAGACUUUUCCCCAAACAGAAAUGUUUGUCGCUCGAAGUAUUGCAGCGGACCACAAGGAUCUUAUUCAUGAUGUUUCAUAUGAUUUCCAUGGCCGGAGAAUGGCAACUUGCUCUAGUGACCAAAGUGUCAAGGUGUGGGACAAGAGUGACAACGGAGAGUGGAACUGCACUGCCAGCUGGAAGACCCAUAGUGGAUCAGUAUGGAGGGUGACCUGGGCCCAUCCAGAGUUUGGUCAGGUGCUGGCCUCCUGCUCCUUCGACCGGACCGCUGCUGUGUGGGAGGAGAUCGUUGGGGAGUCCAAUGACAAACAGCGAGGACUCAGUCACUGGAUCAAGAGGACCACUCUGGUGGACAGCAGAACGUCAGUGACUGACGUGAAGUUUGCUCCUAAACACAUGGGUCUGAUGCUGACCACGUGCUCAGCAGACGGGGUUAUGAGGGUCUACGAGGCUCCAGACGUGAUGAACCUCAGCCAGUGGUCCCUGCAGCAGGAGAUCUCCUCUAAACUCAGCUGCUCCUGUAUCUCCUGGAGCCCCUCCAGCUCUCGUGCCCACGCCCCCAUGAUAGCAGUGGGCUCUGAUGACAGCAACACAGCAUACAACGGGAAAGUUCACAUCUAUGAAUACAUUGAAAACACAAGGAAGUAUGCUAAGGCAGAAAAUCUGAUGACGGUGACAGAUCCAGUCCAUGACAUUGCCUUUGCUCCCAACUUGGGACGCUCUUUUCACGUGCUCGCCAUCGCCACCAAAGACGUACGCAUCUUCAAGCUGAUACCACAGAGGAGAGAGUCUGCAAUGGGGUCGUCUGGUCCCACUAAGCUGCAGGUUCAGAUCCUGGCCCAGUUUGACAACCACAACUCACAGGUGUGGAGAGUCUCCUGGAACAUCAGCAGCACCCUGCUUGCCUCCUCAGGGGACGAUGGCUGUGUCCGGCUCUGGAAAGCCAACUACAUGGACAACUGGAAGUGUACAGCCAUCCUGAGAGGAGAUGGUAGCCCAGUGACGGGCUCGUCCAGUCAGGCUGCAGUCCCCAGCACAGCAGGGGGACCACAACAUGUCCUGCUGCAAGCGUCCUCCGCUGGAAGAAAGAAAGCUCAGCUGAUACCUGGCUAACGGAGUGGCUUGGUGCUGCUGCUUGUUGCAUGCACACACACACACACACACACACACACACACACACACACACACACACACACAGAGGAAUGGAAAGGGAACUCCCUCACCCUGCAGACCAACCUCCCAGAAACACCUCUGAACCCUUUUGUAUGCUAAUCGAGAACCACACUGACUCCUAGAUCAAAGUUCCAGGCAAGCAGUACCGAUGCACCUUGUCUGGAACCAACAGGACCCUGACCAGCUUCUACCCCCAAACCAUAGACUGUUCUCUCUGCUACCACACAGCAAGCAGUACCGAUGCACCAAGUCUGGAACCAACAGGACCCUGACCAGCUUCAACCCACAAGCCAUAAGACUGCUACAUAGUUAGUCUGGGUAGCUAUUAGUUAACUAAUUAAAUAUCCAUACUGAACAAACGUUUGUAUUUAUUCUGGAUCCAAACUAGCUGCUGCCAAAGCAGCAACUACUCUUCCUGGGGUCCAGCAAAAUUAAGGCAGUUUAUACAAUUUUAAAAACAUUACAAUACAUUCACAGAUUUCACAACACCCUGUGUGCCCUCAGGCCCCUACUCCACCACUACCACAUAUCUACAGUACUAAAUCCAUAUGUGUGUAUAGUGUGUAUGUUAUCGUGUGUGUAUGCAUGUGUCUGUGUUUGUGUUGCUUCACAGUCCCCGCUGUUCCAUAAGGUUCUUUUGUUUUUAUCUGUUUUUUGUAAAUCUAAUUUUACUGCUUGCGUCAGUUACUUGAUGUGGAAUAGAGUUUCAUGUAGUCAUGGCUCUAUGUAGUACUGUGUGCCUUCCAUAGUCUGUUCUGGACUUGGGGACUGUGAAGAGACCUCUUGUGGCAUGUCUUGUGGGAUAUGCAUGGGUGUUUGAGCUGUGUGCCAGUAGUUUAGACAGACAGCUCAGUGCAUUCAACAUGAAAAUACCUCUCAUAAAUAAAACUAGUGAUGAAGUCAAUCUCUCCUCCACUUUGAGCCAUGAGAGAUUGACAUGGAUAUUAUUAAUAUUCGCUCUCUGUGCACAUCCAAGGGCCAGCCGUGCUGCCCUGUUCUGAGACAAUUGCAAUUUUCCUAAUUCCUUUUUUGUGGCACCUGACCACACGACUGAACAGUAGUC